RNAcentral lists this unclassified non-coding RNA (316 nucleotides) under fungal sp. RNAcentral's name for it is "partial internal transcribed spacer region". The stretch from base 1 to 46 matches the Rfam family "Eukaryotic small subunit ribosomal RNA", at positions 1786 to 1831 of the family's 1831-position model. The record is from RNAcentral. Lineage: Eukaryota; Fungi.
AAGUCGUAACAAGGUUUCCGUAGGUGAACCUGCGGAAGGAUCAUUAACACGUAUCCAAACGUUAAAACCCCCCCCGUGAACCUUUAUGAGUGCGCACCGUCGGGUAUCCCGAGUCGUAGUGUAUGGUAAAUCAUGGGUAGAGUUGGGGUUCUCUCAACAGGCUACAUUAUUGAUUCAAUGACUACGAUUAGCUGACGGAGUCGCGAGCUCGAAGCAGCAGCGGCCCAAGCAAUAACUUGUCUGAAAGUGUCAUUAGUGGACCAAGUGGCCUGCCGCACCGAACGCACAACUGUUAACAAUGGAUAUCUUGGUUCUC